CGUACCGAAAGGUGCGCUAAUACCGAAUAAUGCUGAGUGACAUCAGUCAUUUAGCCAAAGGAGGCCUCUGCUUGCAAGCUUUCGCUGAAGGAUGAGUCCGCGUACCAUUAGCUAGUUGGUAGGGUAAUGGCCUACCAAGGCGACGAUGGUUAGCUGGUCUGAGAGGAUGAUCAGCCACACUGGAACUGAGACACGGUCCAGACUCCUACGGGAGGCAGCAGUGAGGAAUAUUGCGCAAUGGGGGCAACCCUGACGCAGCAACGCCGCGUGAGUGAGGAAGGUUUUCGGACUGUAAAGCUCUGUCGAGCGGGAAGAAAUGCAUGCUGGCUAAUAUCCAUCAUGCUUGACGGUACCGCUAAAGGAAGCACCGGCUAACUCCGUGCCAGCAGCCGCGGUAAUACGGGGGGUG
RNAcentral lists this ribosomal RNA (409 nucleotides) under uncultured bacterium. RNAcentral's name for it is "bacterial SSU rRNA". It matches the Rfam family "Bacterial small subunit ribosomal RNA", at positions 147 to 534 of the family's 1533-position model. The record is from RNAcentral.